GUUUCCGUAGUGUAGUGGUUAUCACGUCUGCUUUACACACAGAAGGUCCCCAGUUCGAGCCUGGGUGGAAACA
This is a non-coding RNA of Nematostella vectensis (starlet sea anemone), 73 nucleotides long. The record is from Rfam. Lineage: Eukaryota; Metazoa; Cnidaria; Anthozoa; Actiniaria; Edwardsiidae.